Molecule: ribosomal RNA, 255 nt
Filed under: uncultured bacterium
Lineage: Bacteria
Description: partial small subunit ribosomal RNA
Rfam family: Bacterial small subunit ribosomal RNA
Source: RNAcentral
AGGACGAACGCUGGCGGCGUGCUUAACACAUGCAAGUCGAGCGGAAAGGCCCUUCGGGGUACUCGAGCGGCGAACGGGUGAGUAACACGUGAGUAAUCUGCCCCUAGCUCUGGGAUAGCUCCGGGAAACCGGGAUUAAUACCGGACAUGACUCCUUUCGACAUCUGAAGGAGUGGAAAGAUUUAUCGGCUAGGGAUGAGCUCGCGGCCUAUCAGCUUGUUGGUGGAGUAACGGCCCACCAAGGCGACGACGGGUA